Ochotona princeps (American pika) is the source of this 63-nucleotide small nucleolar RNA. The record is from Ensembl. Lineage: Eukaryota; Metazoa; Chordata; Mammalia; Lagomorpha; Ochotonidae.
CACAGAUGAUGUGCUUUUUGACAGGCGGACAGAGACUCUGUGCUGAUUGUCAAGUUCUGUUUC